Podarcis lilfordi (Lilford's wall lizard) is the source of this 71-nucleotide non-coding RNA. The record is from the annotation of a GenBank genome assembly. Lineage: Eukaryota; Metazoa; Chordata; Lepidosauria; Squamata; Lacertidae.
GGGUCAUAGCUCAGUGGCAGAGUGUCUGCCUUGCAAGCAGAAGUUUCCUGGUUCAAUCCCUAACAUGUCCA